GACAGAGGCCUCGAGCGUUAGGCGGAAUCACUGGGCUUAAAGCGUGUGUAGGCGGAAGCGUAAGUACCUUGUGAAAUCCCACGGCUCACCCGUGGAACCGCUGGGUAUACUGCGCUUCUUGGGCCACUCAGGGGCGACUGGAACAAGCGGUGGAGCGGUGAAAUGCGUAGAUAUCGCUUGGAACGCCAAAGGUGAAAACAGGUCGCUGGGAGUGCGCCGACGCUGAGACACGAAAGCCAGGGGAGCAAACGGG
Molecule: ribosomal RNA, 253 nt
Filed under: uncultured bacterium
Lineage: Bacteria
Description: partial 16S ribosomal RNA
Rfam family: Bacterial small subunit ribosomal RNA
Source: RNAcentral